Non-coding RNA from Xyrichtys novacula (pearly razorfish), 98 nucleotides. The record is from the annotation of a GenBank genome assembly. NCBI's taxonomy places the organism in Eukaryota, Metazoa, Chordata, Actinopteri, Labriformes, Labridae.
CACUGAGGAACAUAACAGAGCUGAUGACAUCACUGAUGACAUCAGCAUCAUCAAUGAUGCUGAUGUCAUCAGUGAUGUCAUCAGCUCUGUUUCCCAGC